AACGAACGCUGGCGGCAUGCCUAACACAUGCCAGUCGAACGAGACCUUCGGGUCUAGUGGCGCACGGGUGCGUAACGCGUGGGAACCUGCCCUUAGGUUCGGAAUAACUCCCCGAAAGGGGUGCUAAUACCGGAUAAUGUCUUCGGACCAAAGAUUUAUCGCCUUUGGAUGGGCCCGCGUUGGAUUAGCUAGUUGGUAGGGUAAAAGCCUACCAAGGCGACGAUCCAUAGCUGGUCUGAGAGGAUGAUCAGCCACACUGGGACUGAGACACGGCCCAGACUCCUACGGGAGGCAGCAGUGGGGAAUAUUGGACAAUGGGCGAAAGCCUGAUCCAGCAAUGCCGCGUGAGUGAUGAAGGCCUUAGGGUUGUAAAGCUCUUUUACCCGGGAUGAUAAUGACAGUACCGGGAGAAUAAGUUCCGGCUAACUCCGUG
This 433-nucleotide ribosomal RNA is filed under the name uncultured bacterium. RNAcentral's name for it is "partial 16S ribosomal RNA". It matches the Rfam family "Bacterial small subunit ribosomal RNA", at positions 29 to 507 of the family's 1533-position model. The record is from RNAcentral.